This 687-nucleotide ribosomal RNA is filed under the name bacterium SCSIO13221. RNAcentral's name for it is "bacterial SSU rRNA". It matches the Rfam family "Bacterial small subunit ribosomal RNA", at positions 56 to 789 of the family's 1533-position model. The record is from RNAcentral.
UGCAAGUCGAACGAACCCUUCGGGGUUAGUGGCGCACGGGUGCGUAACGCGUGGGAAUCUGCCCUUAGGUUCGGAAUAACUCAGAGAAAUUUGAGCUAAUACCGGAUGAUGACGUAAGUCCAAAGAUUUAUCGCCUGAGGAUGAGCCCGCGUAGGAUUAGCUAGUUGGUGUGGUAAAGGCGCACCAAGGCGACGAUCCUUAGCUGGUCUGAGAGGAUGAUCAGCCACACUGGGACUGAGACACGGCCCAGACUCCUACGGGAGGCAGCAGUGGGGAAUAUUGGACAAUGGGCGAAAGCCUGAUCCAGCAAUGCCGCGUGAGUGAUGAAGGCCUUAGGGUUGUAAAGCUCUUUUACCCGGGAUGAUAAUGACAGUACCGGGAGAAUAAGCUCCGGCUAACUCCGUGCCAGCAGCCGCGGUAAUACGGAGGGAGCUAGCGUUGUUCGGAAUUACUGGGCGUAAAGCGUACGUAGGCGGCUUUGUAAGUAAGAGGUGAAAGCCUGGAGCUCAACUCCAGAACUGCCUUUUAGACUGCAUCGCUUGAAUCCUGGAGAGGUGAGUGGAAUUCCGAGUGUAGAGGUGAAAUUCGUAGAUAUUCGGAAGAACACCAGUGGCGAAGGCGGCUCACUGGACAGGUAUUGACGCUGAGGUACGAAAGCGUGGGGAGCAAACAGGAUUAGAUACCCUG